Molecule: ribosomal RNA, 492 nt
Filed under: uncultured bacterium
Lineage: Bacteria
Description: partial 16S ribosomal RNA
Rfam family: Bacterial small subunit ribosomal RNA
Source: RNAcentral
AGUGAACGCUGGCGGUAGGCCUAACACAUGCAAGUCGAACGGCAGCACAGUAAGAGCUUGCUCUUACGGGUGGCGAGUGGCGGACGGGUGAGGAAUACAUCGGAAUCUACUUUUUCGUGGGGGAUAACGUAGGGAAACUUACGCUAAUACCGCAUACGACCUACGGGUGAAAGCAGGGGAUCUUCGGACCUUGCGCGAUUGAAUGAGCCGAUGUCGGAUUAGCUAGUUGGCGGGGUAAAGGCCCACCAAGGCGACGAUCCGUAGCUGGUCUGAGAGGAGGGUCGGCCACAUGGGAGCUGAGACACGGUCCAGACGCCUGAGGGAGGCAGCAGUGGGGAAUAGGGGACAAUGGGCGCAAGCCUGGUCCAGCCAUACCGCGUGGGUGAAGGAGGCGUUCGGGUUGUAAAGCCCGUUUGUUGGGAGAGAAAAGCAGCAGGUUAAUACGCCGCUGUUCUGACGGUACCCAAAGAAGAAGCACCGGCUAACUUCGUG